AACGAACGCUGGCGGCAUGCCUAACACAUGCAAGUCGAACGAGAUCUUCGGGUCUAGUGGCGCACGGGUGCGUAACGCGUGGGAACCUGCCCUUUGGUUCGGAAUAACAGUUGGAAACGACUGCUAAUCCCGGAUGAUGACGAAAGUCCAAAGAUUUAUCGCCAGAGGAUGAGCCCGCGUAGGAUUAGCUAGUUGGUGUGGUAAAGGCGCACCAAGGCGACGAUCCUUAGCUGGUCUGAGAGGAUGAUCAGCCACACUGGGACUGAGACACGGCCCAGACUCCUACGGGAGGCAGCAGUGGGGAAUAUUGGACAAUGGGCGAAAGCCUGAUCCAGCAAUGCCGCGUGAGUGAUGAAGGCCUUAGGGUUGUAAAGCUCUUUUACCCGGGAUGAUAAUGACAGUACCGGGAGAAUAAGCUCCGGCUAACUCCGUGCCAGCCGCCGCUGUAA
This 449-nucleotide ribosomal RNA is filed under the name uncultured bacterium. RNAcentral describes it as "partial 16S ribosomal RNA". It matches the Rfam family "Bacterial small subunit ribosomal RNA", at positions 29 to 523 of the family's 1533-position model. The record is from RNAcentral.